RNAcentral lists this ribosomal RNA (909 nucleotides) under Sheathia americana. RNAcentral describes it as "eukaryotic LSU rRNA". The stretch from base 257 to 408 matches the Rfam family "5.8S ribosomal RNA". Lineage: Eukaryota; Rhodophyta; Florideophyceae; Batrachospermales; Batrachospermaceae. The record is from RNAcentral.
CAAGGUUUCCGUAGGUGAACCUGCGGAAGGAUCAUUCAUGUUUUUAAUCGUGCCUUUUAGUGGGGGGUGUGUGUGGAGCAACCUUCGGGUGCGUUUUGCAUGCAUUCUUCCUAAGAGGCCACAACCAUUCCGGUGACCAAUUUAACCCAUUUUUUGUUGUAAAACGGUGCUGUAAAACGCGCCGUUUACUACUACAACUCUUUUUAUUUAAAACCCACCAUGAAAAACCACAACAGAAACGAAACCAAGAAAAUAAAACUCGUGACGGAGGAUAUCUUGGCUCCCACAUCGAUGAAGAACGCAGCGAAAUGCGAUACGUAGUGUGAAUUGCAGACACGUGAGUCAUCGAAUCUUUGAACGCAAGUGGUGCUCGCGGGCAAUCCUGCGAGCAUGUCUGUUUGAGUGUCCGCACAAAAUACUCGCGCCCUCUUAAUUUGAAGGGUGCGGCGAUUGGGUUUUUUUUUGUAUCUGCUUCACGGCGGAAGACCCGGAAUGCAGUGCUUGGAAGUUCCAUGGGGCGUCAGCCCCAUUUCCGUGUGCAUCAACAUAUCUGCGCGACUAUCUAGCGCGGAAAACCAGUGUUUAAAACUAGCAAGCAAUGCGUGGUGCUUUGUUGCGUCUGCUGCGCUGAAAAGAAAGGAAGUCUGGACGGAAACGACGUCUCGGAGCUCUCUGCUGGGAAGUAACUACAUUCCAGGGGGGAGAUGAGGUGGCGCUUUUUUGUGCUGGAUUGCCAUGAAAAAACUUUUCGGGGCACGCGGUGGGAGAGCGACGGGAAAGCCAUGUCAUGUGGUGAUUCCAUGCGAUCCUGCGGUGUAAAAGGCGGUGCGUGAGCGGGUGCUGUAUACUACAUGCGCAGUGCGUCACUGGCGGACUUUAUAUUUCUCGGAUCUCAAAUCAGGCAAGACU